This 253-nucleotide ribosomal RNA is filed under the name uncultured bacterium. RNAcentral describes it as "partial 16S ribosomal RNA". It matches the Rfam family "Bacterial small subunit ribosomal RNA", at positions 524 to 776 of the family's 1533-position model. The record is from RNAcentral.
UACGUAGGGGGCAAGCGUUGUCCGGAUUUAUUGGGCGUAAAGAGCGUGUAGGCGGUCAUGUAGGUCCGUUGUGAAAACUCGAGGCUCAACCUCGAGACGCCGAUGGAAACCAUGUGACUAGAGUCCGGAAGAGGAGAGUGGAAUUCCUGGUGUAGCGGUGAAAUGCGCAGAUAUCAGGAAGAACACCCGUGGCUAAGGCGGCUCUCUAGUACGUGACUGACGCUGAGACGCGAAAGCGUGGGGAGCGAACAGG